RNAcentral lists this ribosomal RNA (446 nucleotides) under uncultured bacterium. Its description in RNAcentral is "partial 16S ribosomal RNA". It matches the Rfam family "Bacterial small subunit ribosomal RNA", at positions 338 to 795 of the family's 1533-position model. The record is from RNAcentral.
CCUACGGGAGGCAGCAGUAGGGAAUUUUCGGCAAUGGGGGGAACCCUGACCGAGCAACGCCGCGUGAACGAAGAAGUUAUUCGUAAUGUAAAGUUCUUUUAACAGGGAAGAAAGAGAAAUUUGACGGUAUCUGAAGAAUACGCUUCGGCUAAUUACGUGCCAGCAGCCGCGGUAAUACGUAGGGAGCGAGGGUUAUCCGGAAUUAUUGGGCGAAAGGGGGGCGUAGAUGGCAUAGAAAGUCUUUUGUAAAAAUGCUGGGCUAAACCCAGUAGGGCAAAAGAUACUGCAAAGCUAGAGUAUGACAGAGGCAAGUGGAACUACAUGUGUAGCGGUAAAAUGCGUAAAUAUAAGGAAGAACACCAGUGGCGAAGGCGGCUUGCUGGGUCGAUACUGACAUUGAGGCACGAAAGCGUGGGGAGCAAACAGGAUUAGAUACCCCAGUAGUC